This 1251-nucleotide long non-coding RNA is filed under the name Phascolarctos cinereus (koala). RNAcentral describes it as "lncRNA (ENSPCIG00000031602.1)". Lineage: Eukaryota; Metazoa; Chordata; Mammalia; Diprotodontia; Phascolarctidae. The record is from RNAcentral.
AAAAAAGGAUUUGCAGCAUUAAUUAAAUCCUAUUGCUGAGGAUAGAAUGGGGAGGAUUCUGUGGGCAGAGAGUUAGGAUCGCGGGCUGAGAGCUGGCAGGGACAGGAGAGAUGAACCAAGCAAGAGGAAGAGGCUCUCUGAGGUCCCCCGAGCUCGUGGCUGGGCGUGCCGGGCGCCUCCUCAGCAGGAAUCACAGCCAUAUCCCAUCAGUAUAUGCUAACCGAGGGAAGAAAUGUCCUGGGUUCAAGUGAAAAUACGAGCAUUAUAGGACAUCUGGUGACCGUAUCAACUGUUCUUCCUCUCUGUGAUUUUGGAGUGUAGCCAAGAUGGCUGGCUGCGUGACAGCUGCUGCUGCCCUUCCUCCUCCGUCUUAACUCUGCCGAAGAAGGGCCAGAAGUUAAGAAGACCUCAAAGGACCACGCGGCACCAAAUGACACGUUGCCUUUGCACAUACUAGAGAUAGCAGUAUGGAAAUGUUUAUUUCAUAGUAAAAAUAUGUAUCUACAAGCAAUCAUUUGUAUUUUUUAAAAAACAUACAGAUAGGAGAAAUUAUUAUAAAAUUAUUAAAAAUCAUUUUAAAGUUCAGUUGAUUCAGUCAACAUGUCUGAUCCUUCUAUUAAGUCUAUGUUGGCUCAUAGGAUUCCUUGAGUUGGAAGGGACCUCAGAAGCCAUCUAGUCCAAAUUCUGCAUUUUACAAGUGAGGAAACUGAGGCUGAGAAAGGUUAACUGACUGGCCUAUGUCACACAGGUAAUAAGUGUGAGAAAUGGAAUGUGAACCUAUGUCUUCUGGCUUGAAUUAGCACUCUUUCUUUUAUAAAAAUUUCUGAGUAUGCCCAACAGCGAAUACAACGAGCCUUUCUAUAUAUAGUAUAGAAGAGAAAGAGAUAAAUCAGAACACUGAAUCUCUGUUUGUCGAGCUGGCUUUUCCAUAUAAGUAUAUGAUGAGUUCCAUGUAUCACUUCCAAUGCUGGCCUUAGAGCAAGAACAAAUUCUUCAAGUCUAAUUGGCUUCAUUUUAUGGAAGAGGGCGCAGAGACCUGACAGCAAAGGGGCUUAGGAUCACAAGACAUAGAGGCAUAAGGGACCCUAGAGAUGACUUAAUCCAACCCCUUUCAUUUCACAGAUGAGGAGACUGAGGUCAAAAAAGCACAAAUGCCCCCUAUGAUCAUGCAGUUCUUAAGUGUCAGAGCCUGGAUUUGAACCCAGCUCUUUUGACCCCAAGUCCAAUGCAUGACCUUAAAGAUUCUUGUAC